CUACGGGCUGCAGCAGUGGGGAAUAUUGCACAAUGGAGGAAACUCUGAUGCAGCAACGCCGCGUGGAGGAUGACACUUUUCGGAGCGUAAACUCCUUUUAUAUAGGAAGAAGAUGACGGUACUAUAUGAAUAAGCGCCGGCUAACUCCGUGCCAGCAGCCGCGGUAAUACGGAGGGCGCAAGCGUUACUCGGAAUCACUGGGCGUAAAGAGCGUGUAGGCGGAUUAAAAAGUCAGAAGUGAAAUCCUAUAGCUUAACUAUAGAACUGCUUCUGAAACUCUUAAUCUAGAAUAUGGGAGAGGUAGAUGGAAUUUCUGGUGUAGGGGUAAAAUCCGUAGAGAUCAGAAGGAAUACCGAUUGCGAAGGCGAUCUACUAGAACAUUACUGACGCUAAGGCGUGAAAGCGUGGGGAGCAAACAGGAUUAGAUACCCCCGUAGUC
This 439-nucleotide ribosomal RNA is filed under the name uncultured bacterium. RNAcentral's name for it is "partial 16S ribosomal RNA". It matches the Rfam family "Bacterial small subunit ribosomal RNA", at positions 339 to 795 of the family's 1533-position model. The record is from RNAcentral.